Molecule: ribosomal RNA, 468 nt
Filed under: uncultured bacterium
Lineage: Bacteria
Description: partial 16S ribosomal RNA
Rfam family: Bacterial small subunit ribosomal RNA
Source: RNAcentral
GACGAACGCUGGCGGCGUGCUUAACACAUGCAAGUCGAACGGAAAGGCCCUGCUUUUGUGGGGUGCUCGAGUGGCGAACGGGUGAGUAACACGUGAGUAACCUGCCCUUGACUUUGGGAUAACUUCAGGAAACUGGGGCUAAUACCGGAUAGGAGCUCCUGCUGCAUGGUGGGGGUUGGAAAGUUUCGGCGGUUGGGGAUGGACUCGCGGCUUAUCAGCUUGUUGGUGGGGUAGUGGCUUACCAAGGCUUUGACGGUUAGCCGGCCUGAGAGGGUGACCGGCCACAUUGGGACUGAGAUACGGCCCAGACUCCUACGGGAGGCAGCAGUGGGGAAUAUUGCACAAGGGGCGGAAGCCUGAUGCAGCAACGCCGCGUGCGGGAUGACGGCCUUCGGGUUGUAAACCGCUUUCGCCUGUGACGAAGCGUGAGUGACGGUAAUGGGUAAAGAAGCACCGGCUAACUACGUG